This is a long non-coding RNA of Gallus gallus (chicken), 3255 nucleotides long. RefSeq lists it as uncharacterized. The record is from RefSeq and is a predicted model, not a curated record. The transcript is spliced from 4 exons. NCBI's taxonomy places the organism in Eukaryota, Metazoa, Chordata, Aves, Galliformes, Phasianidae.
GAACAUAAUUAUGCCGCUGCAAACCUGGGCUGCAAAAAGCGCGGCUCCUGGCCCCACCAACUUCCAUUAACUCCUGAAGCCCCGCGCCGGGGUGUCCGGGUGCGGCAGCCGGCUCCCAGGGGUCAGGGCAGCGCUCCGAACCUCUUCCUCUCCAAUCUGGCCCCAAAAUCGCCACAGGAGGAGGAUAUGAAAAAUUAGGAGAUCUGCUUGACAUCGGGAAAUCCGACACUUGUCUGCUCUAACAUCUCUAAGUACCAAAGCCGUACAGCGUAGUAAGAGGUGGAUUUUUUACGUGUAUAUAUAUAUUUUUUCCCCUAAAAGGUUGUUGCCACUUUUGCUGCUUUUCAUGUCAGAGAAGUCGGGUAACGUGGGGCCCUUUGAAAUAUGUCUCAUCUGAAACAAACUUCUGCCCGCAAACCAUAGAUGCAAGAAAUAUUUAUUAUGGCCGAGCAAGGCUUUCCUUUUCCUUAAUCUGAGGCAAUUAGUACCUGAAUAAACACAGAGCGAGCAAUCCACCUCCUCACUGUGUAAUUGCACUUUAGAGGAGUUCCUCAGCUCUGCCCAAGGAAGCACAGCUCCCACUGAAGUGCUUGGAGCUCACUUUCACCCUGCCUGUAAACCCUCUGACUUUUAAUGGAAAACCCUUUGCGCUCCCCCAACUCUGCACUCCUCAAACCCUGGCCAGGCCCAGUUCUCUCCCCCCGAAAUCUUUCACCCUGCUUCUUAUUUUUCCUGGGCUCUAAUCUAAUCGCUAAUUCCUUCGCUUGGCCAAAUAGUUAAAAAUGUUAAGUGCUGGCAGUUCCUCCUGCCUCCCCCCCGUAUCUGUCUCUGUUUAUGGAACGGGCCCUGGUUUCCUCCUUCUCUUGUUCAGCUGUAGGUCUUCAGGUCGGGAGACUGUAAAUACACACAGCACUGCCCCGACCCAUAAAUCUGAGCAAAGGGCAGCCCUAUAUAUUCAGAUAAGCCACGCAGAGAGGGGGAAAGUUAGGAAAAAAAAAGAGGGGAGAAAUGAGGAAUAAAAGCAAAGUAAGGCAAAGGCACGGUGACACCUCCAUGAACAUGCCAACAGGGCAUGUGGGAUGCCCACCGCUGCCCUCUGUUUGUGCACAAAUCAUCACAAAAUGCAUUGGAUUCUCUUUAGGCAAUGAAAUGAAACCCCAGAUCUCCAUAGCUUUCUGACGUGCCUUUCUCUCCCCCAGCCCUUUGUUGGUCGAUUCCUUCCCCCCCCUCCCAUUUUAUUUCCAGCACCUCUGAAGCUUUCAAGGGAACAGUCCCCCUGUUAUUGCUUCUCAGCUCCAAGGUCUUAGAAUAAAUAACAUUGUUAUUACUCACUUCACCAAUUUCCAAGAAGAAAUAUUGCCGCAGCAAAUGCGAGCAGCACUAAUAUUUGCAAAGUGAUAAAUGGAUUGCUACAUACCUUCCCGUCUGUGUGGCCUCCAGCCAUCCCUAGGCCAGCUCCAUCUCCUUGGGCACCUUUGAACUGAGAGGGCUCCAAGCACGGUGCCUUGCACGGAUCCCCUCCCUCGCCCUCUUAUGGGGAGAGGAGCUCAGACCUGGAGUUGAGUACCGGGGGAGGUGGCUGCCCUGCCUGCACGUACCUGGCAAAUAACAUACAGAUAGUUUAAGCAACGGUUCUAUCUACUUCUCUGAUGUGGUGUGGACUCUUUGAUUGCAUCGAAAACAAAAUCUCCGAAUUCAAUUAUUCCUGGGACAUGAGUCAUGCUGAAAAACACUUUAAAUGUCUGCUAAUUAAAAACAAAGUGCAACUUCUUGCUUCACCCCACAGUGGCUGCUCCAGCAAAGCAAGCCAGACUGCCACCAACAAUGGGCCACUGAAACCCUGCUUUGCUCUGCUCCGAAGAGCCUAUGUUGGCCGCCAAGCCCUUCCUGGCUCCUUCCAUCCUGAUGACAUGUUCUCAGCUGAGACCGUUGCAAUUCCAGGCUAUGCUCCAGUGCCUAUGGUUAUUCUGUUGUUUGGCUACUUGAUUGCUUGGCUUGAGCUCUUUGGCUCGGACAAGUGGCUUCACCUGAGCUCACCCAGAUAUCAGAGAUGGUAUGAAGGUGGAUUUUCUUGUGCAGAGCAAAAUGCAGCUGCUCCGGACCAUCAUCUCAGUGACUUCGUGGUUGUGUCACAUCCUCCGUGCAGCAGGGGCAGCACCAGGAGCUCUCCUUGGCCAUUUCUCCCCACCCCUUUCCUUCUGAAGGGGCUGGCAGGAGCCUUAGGGAACAACCAACAGCAUGAAGAGGUUAUAUGCAGAGGGCAAACAGCAUCCUAUGGCUUCUAGAUGAGUUGAUGGGUACACACAAAAGUUUCUGUGAUGCUGGGUGAAGGUGCGUGCACAGUGUGGCUGUGAUGAUCUGUGGACAACUCUGCACCCAGAGAAGGUGGUAGACUGAAAACCUGGGCUAAAUAUAUCCAUACAUAUAAAUGUAUUCUUUUUUUCCUUUAUUUUCUUUUUUUUUUCCCCCAAGAAGUAACCCUUAGCUGUAACAUGGAGAGUGAGCUUGAGAACUGCUGAAAAAUAAUCACCCAGAAAUUGUGGGCAGAGGCGCAAAAGGGUCGAGCAGGAGACAAUAAAAAUCUGUCUGGCAGUUUUCCUCUUGACCGAGGUUCAGUGGGCAUUUCAUGUGAGGCCAUGUCACUGGGACAAGAGUCAUCCCUGAAAGAGACCCUCUGAAGAGUGAUGUGUCCUGUCUGUCUGCAUCCAUAGGAUGCUGAAAGGACCCCUACAGCCUUCCUUCUAAUAUUUACUCCUAUUUUUUUUCCUUUGUGACCAUGUUCAAGCGUAGUAUUUUUCUUCAGACUUUCACUGACAUUCGUGUUGCUUUAAUAGAUACAUAUAGGAAAACCACUUCUGCAAUCGCAGUAGUUCCUUUGUAGCCAUAAGGCUAAUAACUAACAUCUUUGCCACCAAGAACAGACCAUGGCAUUUACAUGGGAACUACAGCAGACCCACAGAAGGAGCAACCUCAGCUUGCAUCGCAGAGGGCUUGGGACCCUCCAAGUCGGGAUGCAGAUCCCCACCAGGGCUAAUUUGGGGAAGUGAGCCGGAGGUACCCGCAGCAGAUGACACACAGGGCUCAGCUUCUUAUUCAGCUCCAAGUCAGCAGGGGCACCCCCUGACCAUCUGUGGUCUAUAAAUUACAGUAACACCGGCACACACUGCUUGUAAAUCACCAACGAACAGGCUUUACCUUAUGACACACUACAUGAACCCUGUUGGAUAUUCCAAUAAACUCCCAUAAACCAUCUGA